RNAcentral lists this long non-coding RNA (263 nucleotides) under Monodelphis domestica (gray short-tailed opossum). RNAcentral's name for it is "lncRNA (ENSMODG00000048205.1)". Lineage: Eukaryota; Metazoa; Chordata; Mammalia; Didelphimorphia; Didelphidae. The record is from RNAcentral.
AGCAAAAGAUUCUUGCCUCGUAUUCCAGCAUGGCCUUGCCCCAAAGAAAAUGAACUUCAAGUAGCAACUUAUUUGGCUGCUCUGCAAAACAAGAUUGAGCAGACUUAUACAGAACCCAGAUUGGUGCCAAACAGACCAAAGGAAGCUCAAGCAAACGAAGAUGAACAAAUAGAAAUUAUCAGUUGUAAGUAAAUAACAUUAAAAGUCUUUAAAUUAUGUAUUAAUAUUAUGUUAACCAAGAGAUUUUUUUAUAUCUUUUUGAU